CCAUUGUUGAGAUGACGGGAAGUGGAAGAAAGAUGGCGUCAGGCGCUUCGCCGAGUGGAGGCCUCACGCCAUCCAUCGGCUUUGUUAGCGCGAUAAAUCUUUCAGGAGACAAAAGAGCGGCGAGCAUCAGGGUGCAUACGGCGGGUAUCAAACACUGCGCCGCAGCAUCAAAGCUACAGCGUAGCGCAAACUCCGCCUCCAGGAAGUGAAACUGCCAAAAGACGCCGACGUUGUUGAACGUGUGUAAUGCGUCUCUGCGCCGGACGGAAAAAACAAGCCUCUCGCCCGGAACGUUCUUCACGGCCGACUGACGACAAACUGACUCUGUCAGCUUCACGCAAUUAAAAAGACAAACUCCGGGAUUGGAUGAGGAGGCGAGCGAGUACAUGCUAACUAGCGAGCCGCGAGAUGACACCUGUGACGGUGCGUUCAAUAGGCCUUAUGUUGAUGUCUUGAGGAAACAAUAUGGCCGACUCACCGUGACAGGUGUUAGGAUGGAGAAGAGCGGCGUUCUCUACGUCCUGUUCAAAGGCGCCUCUGAGUGGACACACAAAACACAAACGUCAGCUA
Molecule: long non-coding RNA, 570 nt
Organism: Syngnathus acus (greater pipefish)
Lineage: Eukaryota; Metazoa; Chordata; Actinopteri; Syngnathiformes; Syngnathidae
Exons: 2
Source: RefSeq, a predicted model, not a curated record